Molecule: long non-coding RNA, 584 nt
Organism: Mastomys coucha (southern multimammate mouse)
Lineage: Eukaryota; Metazoa; Chordata; Mammalia; Rodentia; Muridae
Exons: 4
Source: RefSeq, a predicted model, not a curated record
CUCAUCACUAACUGAGCUGACCCAUGAUUUCUAGCUUCCCAGGUCCCUGCUAGGAGAGUCAUGCCUGUCUCUCUUCUGAUGCUGUGCUGCAGAAUGCAUUCACUUAGAAGAUGGAUGCGUUUGAAUCGACUUCGCUCACCACCCUGCCCAGGAAGCCGGCAGAACAGUUAACUGCGCUUCUGUGAGACUCUCUCGCCUGUGAACGGCUUUUCCCGGUACCGAAGGCCUAAAAAGAGGAGGCAGCCAAUCGAGCCACGGAUGGGAGUGUGACAGUGGAGGCCACCCCAGCAGUCAGGGUGCAGAACACACAGCAUCCGUACCCUUGGCUCCCGCACAGAUCUACUGAAUGAGGGAAGAGGAUGAGACAGAACCUACUAUUUGCAGCUGGGCUAAUCAGCCCAAUGGCAUCUAGCCUGCAGGUACUCAGCCCUCGCAACAUGGCGGAUCCAACUGAAAUGUGCUGGAAGUAAGAAACAUACCAGAGCCCAAAAUCCUCAUAGCAAGAGAACAUUGUGGCAAAGCUGAUCGCUGUAUACAUAUUGAAAUGAGAAUUAUUUGGACGAACUCCAUUCAAUAAAACACAU